AUUGAACGCUGGCGGCAUGCUUUACACAUGCAAGUCGAACGGUAACAGGGAGCUUGCUCCGCUGACGAGUGGCGAACGGGUGAGUAAUGCAUCGGAACGUGCCGUGUAGUGGGGGAUAACGUAGCGAAAGUUACGCUAAUACCGCAUACGCCCCGAGGGGGAAAGUGGGGGGACCGCAAGGCCUCACGCUAUACGAGCGGCCGAUGUCGGAUUAGCUAGUUGGUAGGGUAAAGGCCUACCAAGGCGACGAUCCGUAGCGGGUCUGAGAGGAUGAUCCGCCACACUGGGACUGAGACACGGCCCAGACUCCUACGGGAGGCAGCAGUGGGGAAUUUUGGACAAUGGGCGCAAGCCUGAUCCAGCCAUGCCGCGUGAGUGAAGAAGGCCUU
Molecule: ribosomal RNA, 389 nt
Filed under: uncultured bacterium
Lineage: Bacteria
Description: bacterial SSU rRNA
Rfam family: Bacterial small subunit ribosomal RNA
Source: RNAcentral